Molecule: non-coding RNA, 125 nt
Organism: Brachypodium distachyon (stiff brome)
Lineage: Eukaryota; Viridiplantae; Streptophyta; Magnoliopsida; Poales; Poaceae
Source: Rfam
UAGUUACUCCCUCCGAUCCAUCUUACUUGUCGAAAUAUUACAUGUAUCUAGACGCUUUUUAAACAUAGAUACAUCCAUAUUUGGCCAAAUUUGAGUCAAGUAAUAUGGGUCGGAGGGAGUAACUA